GAAGAUGAGUCCCUUUGAGGCUUUGUAUGGGUAUAAACCACCUGAGGUUUCUUGUCCCUUGCCUGAUUCUACUGAUGUUCAAGAAGUCACUGAGCUUUUAUGGCAGAGGCAGCAGAUGACUGAGUUGUUGAGGGACAAUUUGGUGCAGGCCCAAAACAGAAUUAAGCAGAAAGCUGAUAAAAAGAGAGAUGAGAAGGAGUUUCAAG
This 206-nucleotide unclassified non-coding RNA is filed under the name Hevea brasiliensis (rubber tree). Lineage: Eukaryota; Viridiplantae; Streptophyta; Magnoliopsida; Malpighiales; Euphorbiaceae. The record is from RNAcentral.